Hippopotamus amphibius kiboko is the source of this 492-nucleotide long non-coding RNA. RefSeq lists it as uncharacterized. The transcript has 4 exons. Lineage: Eukaryota; Metazoa; Chordata; Mammalia; Artiodactyla; Hippopotamidae. The record is from RefSeq and is a predicted model, not a curated record.
GAUGUCGAGCUCUCCGAUUUCGCUCUGCUCGCCUUGGAAUUCGAGACCCCAGACGAGGACCAGGAUUCAUGAACCGGUCGCAGGGGCCCGGGCAGGGGCCUCUGGCUCCCGACGCUGGCCGAGAGACGACCUGUUUGAAAAAUUCUAAUAGGAAAACCAGAAGAUAAACCAAAUGGCUCAAGGUGAAGAUGCGCAUCAAGUGCCCUCCCUAUGCCUCCCACUGGGCUGGCUGAGGGAUCAGCAGAGAGCAGGGGAGACAACACACCUGCCUCCUGUAGCCAGAAACAAAUGAAAUCAAACAUGGUCCUCAAGGCUCAUGUCCACUAAACUCCUCCAAUCCUGGUCAUCUUGUCAGCCCUGCGCCUCUAUCCCACCUAGAGCUGAAUACUAUUAUUAUCAGUUAAGUGGGAAGCCUUCCAGACCAUUUCUUAUGCCUUAAAAUGCAUAUGUGUGUAUUCCAGGAAGAAGAAAAUGUGAUUUUUAUGGGUUCGU